This is a non-coding RNA of Osmia lignaria (orchard mason bee), 2458 nucleotides long. Lineage: Eukaryota; Metazoa; Arthropoda; Insecta; Hymenoptera; Megachilidae. The record is from RefSeq and is a predicted model, not a curated record.
AAAGAGCAGCCGACAGCGAUAAACGAUUCCGGGAAGAUCUUUUGUCGGACGAUCAUUGGCGGUUCAUUCGAAUUCGUGUUCCACGCUCGGAACGCGCACCGUCGAAAAAAAAUAAAUAAAUAACACGUUCCGAGACCUCAUUAUGCAACGGACAAUUAUGAAAAUUUAAUUGCGCCUCACCUUGAGCGCGCGUGCGGGGAUAUAAUGUUCGAAGGCUGUUCCAUUGUCGUCGGACCGCGAGCGUCACGAGCGGCCGCUUCGCGCCGGCAAAACAAACGUUUCAUAAUCCAACCAAGCGGAUUCCGUCGCGUGUAAACCAAUCGUUUGCGCAAGCUGUACGUACGCGCGGUGUGGUCUUCGAAGGAUAGAGCGUGGCACGGCUCGUUCGUUUCUCGAAGAAAGUUUUCUUGCUUGCGUGGUGAUUUCAACGGAGAGAUCCUCGAGCGUUCGCCGGCCGAUUGGUAAAACUCGACCGAGUCGACGCCUUGAAUUUCGAAAUUGGAUCAAAGCAAAUCAUGGUAGGGUUCGUUUUCACGUUACGUGAAAAUUCAGUGAAAUUAAUAAGGUUUUCAACCCUUUGUUGCCGAGAUGGAGGUCCGUGCUUUUUAUAGAUUCUAGGGUCCUUUCAAGAUCAAAGGCAAAUGACGAGUACCUGCACCCUUACCUUUACUCUUAACUAAGAAAGGCUCUCAUUGCAGCGAAGUGUACAAGUAAAUUCUUAGACCAUCGAGUUUUCGACGAUACUGCGAUUAUGCAAGUUAAUAAGUAUGCGAUGGAGUCUAACAAUUUAAUCUUCCUCUCUACUGUAAUAUUUAUCAAGAAAAUCCGCAAAGUUUCGAGGACUCCACCUUGCACUCCGCGUCCCAAAUAUGGCACCCCAACGCCAGAGGGCUAAAGAAGUUGCUAUAAAAGAAUGUGAAAAAAAAGCUCGAUGCCACAAUUUUCUACGCGCCAACGCUUCAAGGUGAAUUUAUAACGUGCUGUUCCUCUGACAUAAUUCUUCGUCAGUUCCGAGGCGUCUGUUCGUCGUCCUUGACAAAUAAGUACCCUCGCUCCGCGCGCGAGAGUGCGCAAUCAAAGAUGACGAUAUAUUCCUGACUCGCUGAUAUUUGCCAAAUUGGUAAAUAGCAGCGGCGUCUCUCUUUGUUGAAACACCUGAAAAAUCUUGCUCUGAUGUCUGCCGAACACGAUGCCGCGACCCCGAUGUCCUAUAGCUGGAUUACGACAAACCGUGUUCGCGAAACUCUUUUUUUUUUGUAGCCGUGCACACGUUGAGAAAUUACGGCACUCCUUGUUCUAGCUGUGCUAUCAAAAACAACUGAUCAGUGGACUGAAAUAAUUUGACGUAGAAUAAAUAAAAAUAGAAGAAAGAAGUAGAAUAACAAAAAUAGAAAGGAGUGAAAUAACAAAUAAAAUGGUUCAAUUGAAAAAUGUAACAAUGUGAUCUAAAUAAUUUUAGAAUAUUUCGUUAAUCCUAUUAUCCAUCACUCCAAAUAUCUAAUUCAAAUAUUUCCAAUUAUUUUCCACGGAAAUUCAAGUGUUACCCAAAUAUGGGUGACAGCAAUGAACGUGCUAAACGAUAUUAUCAAUAGUAACGGCUGAAUGCGCGAGAGCAAUGAAUCGUCAAGCCGACCUCAUUUAUUUGUGGAUAAGGGCAAUGUGUGUGCAGAGAGUGCACCAGAACGUGUCUCUCCCCUGGUGCAUCCCCACCAAUCUACCACCGGGUGAUUUGCCCCGCGGUAAUACGUCCCUGGGAAGCACGGUAUGCGCCAUCGAGUGUACGCUUAUUUUAACAAACCUAUUUCUGAUAUUGUGCCACCGCAACGGGGCCUGUAUCGAGAUUAGAAGGCUUUCAACGAAACCGACUUUGCCGGUGGAGUGGCGGAGGCGCAAUAACGCGAAAGAACCUAAAUCGCAGCCGCGCCUCGAAACAGAUCCGCUCGGUGCAUACGUUUACGAUGCAAGUGUACGUACUUACGUGCACGGAGAGCACAUUCGACAAGUACCCCCCUCUCGUUACACGUCCCCAUGGCGUUAGGUGAAAGCUCAACAUUCGUAGAAGUAGCGCUGGACAACCGACUUUAAUCGUGUACGCUAAGCAAUGCGUUAUACGUUUCUACAGAAAAUUAUUUCUUAAACUUAUCAUUGUUACUUGAAAGAAAUUAUUGCGAUGCUUGAUUGAAAAAUUAAGAGGGAAGGCUAGCGCUCUAUACGACAAAUAAAUGCUAGCAAUGGAGGCGCCACCAAGGCUGCACAGCAUCGAACCAACGGCUCAUAAAUGUCAAGGGAUCCUGGUGUAGUUUUUAGGUUCCCCGAAGUGACUGGUAUCGGUCUACUGCCUUUGUAGAUUAUACGUUUCAAUCCAAUAUACAGUAGGUUCCAAAAAUAUUCCAACCCAUGUAAUAAUUUUGUAUAAAAAUUGAUUUAAAGUAAAGAAACUUUAGGUGAAACAGUGUUA